AAACGGGAUGAACUAGCAUGCGAGUCAUUGUGGUAAUACAAGGCAGACGGCUCAGUAACGCGUAGUCAACCUAACCUAUGGACGGGAAUAACCUCGGGAAACUGAGAAUAAUGCCCGAUAGAACACUAUGCCUGGAAUGGUUUGUGUUCCAAAUGAUUUAUCGCCGUAGGAUGGGACUGCGGCCUAUCAGUUUGUUGGUGAGGUAAUGGCCCACCAAGACUAUUACAGGUACGGGCUCUGAGAGGAGUGGCCCGGAGAUGGGUACUGAGACACGGACCCAGGCCCUAUGGGGCGCAGCAGGCGAGAAAACUUUGCAAUGUGCGAAAGCACGACAAGGUUAAUCCGAGUGGUUUCUGCUAAAGGAACCUUUUGUCGGUCCUAGAAACACCGAUGAAUAAGGGGUGGGCAAGUUCUGGUGUCAGCCGCCGCGGUAAAACCAGCACCUCAAGUGGUCAGGAUGAUUAUUGGGCCUAAAGCAUCCGUAGCCUGCUUUGUUAGUUUUCGGUUAAAUCUGUACGCUCAACGUACAGGCUGCCGGGAAUACUGCAAAGCUAGGGAGUGGGAGAGGUAGACGGUACUCGGUAGGAAGGGGUAAAAUCCUUUGAUCUAUUGAUGACCACCUGUGGCGAAGGCGGUCUACCAGAACACGUCCGACGGUGAGGGAUGAAAGCUGGGGGAGCAAACCGGAUUAGAUACCCGGGUAGUCCCAGCUGUAAACUAUGCAAACUCAGUGAUGCAUUGGCUUGUGGCCAAUGCAGUGCUGCAGGGAAGCCGUUAAGUUUGCCGCCUGGGAAGUACGUACGCAAGUAUGAAACUUAAAGGAAUUGGCGGGGGAGCACCACAAAGGGUGAAGCCUGCGGUUCAAUUGGAGUCAACGCCGGG
RNAcentral lists this ribosomal RNA (882 nucleotides) under uncultured archaeon. RNAcentral's name for it is "bacterial SSU rRNA". It matches the Rfam family "Archaeal small subunit ribosomal RNA", at positions 31 to 922 of the family's 1478-position model. The record is from RNAcentral.